GCAAGUCGAACGGUGUCUUCGGACAUAGUGGCGCACGGGUGAGUAACACGUAUGCAACCUACCUUACAUUGGGGGCUAGCCUUUCGAAAGGGAGAUUAAUACCGCAUAAGUAAGUCGCUGGACAUCCAGCAGCUGUUAAAGAUUUAUCGAUGUAAGCUGGGCAUGCGUCCAAUUAGCUAGUUGGUGAGGUAAUGGCUCACCAAGGCUAUGAUUGGUAGGGGAACUGAGAGGUCAAUC
RNAcentral lists this ribosomal RNA (237 nucleotides) under uncultured bacterium. Its description in RNAcentral is "partial 16S ribosomal RNA". It matches the Rfam family "Bacterial small subunit ribosomal RNA", at positions 57 to 305 of the family's 1533-position model. The record is from RNAcentral.